Molecule: long non-coding RNA, 221 nt
Organism: Zea mays
Lineage: Eukaryota; Viridiplantae; Streptophyta; Magnoliopsida; Poales; Poaceae
Exons: 3
Source: RefSeq, a predicted model, not a curated record
CGAUGGUCGUUAGCUAGAGUUGACAAGAACAUAAUUAUUGGAACUUUGCUGCGUUGUAACCAUAAUCACAGGUGCUUGGAAACCUCGGACCACAGCACUAUUCAUUUCAACCCGGAUCAUCACACUAUAUACCGCUUGAAGACAAUUCGUCGUUCGUUGAUUGACAAUCCAAGGAGUCGUUUCAUCGACAAAUUUCUAGAGAACAGACGACAACAUUUGGC